GGAGAAAGAGGAUGAGAAGAAACUUGUGGUUCUCAUCCCAUCUUUGUGGAACUCUCUUUUUGUGCGAUUGUGCACUUGUUGGGUCCUUUUUCUGUGCACUUGCACUUGUAGAAGUAUUCUGUUGUGCACAUGUAAAAUUAUGUUGAUGUGCCCUUGUUAGGCGUUGAACCUUAAUGCGUGGAGUCGGUGGAUGAUGUAAUGUAUUUGAUCUGAUAUGCUACUGAAAUGAAAUAUAUAUUCUAUUUGCAAUCUUUUAUUAUGUUGUACCUAUUUUUAAUGGACCUUUCCUGAGAUAUGCGUGCUUUGGAUCUGAAAUUUUGAUGAUUCCAUUUGGUCACUAGCAAUGCCAUGUCUCCUACGUGGCUCACACAAAUGGGUAAUGACCAAACCAAAAUUUUGGUCGAUAGAGACCUAUGACCAAAAUUUUAGAAAGGUCAUGUUUGUUCAUUCUUGACGGCCAACUGUUGACGUUGUAAAUUUGGUCAAAAAAAGGUCAAUAAAUGAUAACAAUGACGAAUCAAUGACCAAUGUAGGGAGUCAUGAUUGACCUUAUUUCUUGUAGUGGCAAGCGGGAGCAGAGGCGGCCGGCGGGCGGGGAGGAGGGGUGCCGCGGGAGGGGAAGAGGGGGCGGGGGAGGAGGCGGCCGACGAGAGUUGAGGCGGCCUGCGGGCAGGGGACGAGUGGCUGAGAGAACUGUCGGAGCGGAGGAGACUGGCCAGUGAGAGUGAGAUGGAGAGGGAGACGGCCGUUAGGGGGGCUCUCUUUGCCGUCAGCCCCCCGACGACAAAGAGUAGGAGAUAGGGGGGACGGGGUGGGGAGACGGCCGUUAGGGGGCGGGCUCGCUUUGCCGUCCGCCCCCCGACGGCAAAGAGAAGGAGGGCAGACAGCAAAGGGAGCGCCCGUUAUGGGGUGGGAGGGGGUGUACGGUGGAUUCUUUGCCGUCUGGCUCCUUUUCUUUGUCGUCCGCCAACAGACGACAAAGAAAAGACUUAUGGAAAAGAGUAUCUUUGCCAUCCGUCUGCUCUUUGCCGUCAGUUUUUUGCUGACUGACGGCAAAUAGGGUCCUUGCCGUCCGCUGGCUGAUGGCAAAGUAGGGGCUGACGGCAAAUAACUGAAUUCCAGUGUGAUGACGCUUCGUGCUGUCGUUAGGAGCCUCCGAUUAAGUUGUGGAGAUUGCCCCAACCUUGUUUGUAAAGGACCAGUUGUCGCCUUCAAUUGCACCACUAAUGGAAUCACGACAUUUGCAUUAUGUGGGGCGUGAGGGUAAUACAGUGGCCUUAGUGGCAUCUUGGGAGCAUUGUGGCUCCACACGGGUCCAACGGAGAUGUACUUCCCCUCAAAGUGAAGGAACUUUGGUAACACAUCCUCGUCAUGAGUUCUACUUGUGGUUACUUCUUACCUUUACUUUGUAUUUGUUGCUUGCUUUUUGUUGUUGUUAGCAUCAUAUAUAUAGGUUUCUCACCUACUUGCAUAUCUAGACAACCUAUUACUUGCUAAACUUAAUUUGUUGAAGAAAAGCUAAAAAUUUGUAGUUGCCUAUUCACCCCCUCUAGUCAACCAUAUCGAUCCUUUUAAUUCGUAUCAUAGCUACGUCGUUUGUUAAGGGUUUCACCACCCAAAGAGUAUGGUUAGUGAUGGGGUUAGGGUUGUGAAUUUACAUGUGGCCAUGUGUGUGAACAAGGUCUCACGAGAUUAUUUAAACGAGGCUAUUUUCUUAGUUAAAUCUUCUAUGGCAAUCGAGGUCAAAUCCAUGUUUAAAGAUUUCCUUGAUGGGCUCAAACUCUGUGCCGAUUUGUUGCGGGUGGUUAACCCCACUACUUUGGAUUCAGAUGCAAAUUCGAUAAGAAGCAGGUUAGUAGUGAUAAGAACAAGUUACCUCAAGGAACGAGUCGGGCGGAUACCUUUUCCUUGGUUCCUCCUCCCGUGGUAUAUGAAGGACCGGUUCAGCCACUACAUAUUAAUAACCUUGUUCCUCCUCCUCAACUUGUUAAGACUGAUGUUGCUAAUUUGGUUUUUCAUAUCAAGUCUCAUUUGAAUCACAGCUCAACACAACUUUGGAGAAUUAUUGAGCAAGGAUACUAUCCUGUUGAUCCAAGAAACCUUACUCCAAGAGAAGAGGCCGACAAUCAACUCAAUCACUCCGCCUUGUUCAUACUUCAAGUUGCUGUCCCCCAUUGAAUAUCCUUCUCACUUACGUCCCUUCACUCAUGCUAAGGAUAAUUGGGAACACAUUGUUUCCAUGUACAAGGUAAGCUCGAGUGUUCAGUAGUCUAACUUUGAGGUGAUUAUUGAUGAGGUAGAUGAAUUUGUGAUGCUUGAUGAUGAGGACCAUCCUGAGCUUUAUCAGAGAGUGACAACUCUAGCCGUUGCUCUUCAUCAUGGAAGAAACAUGUGGAUGAUAAUUCCAGCAAGUGUAAUUUUCUCAAUGCCAUCAGGAUAUUCAACAAGGCCAUGUCCUCUAUUAUCCGUCAAAGACGGGACUAACACUCUUUGACCUCAAUCGAUGUGUUGGAUGAUUUCGUUGCCAUGCACAUAUUUAACAUGACCGCAUACAAAGCUAUAGCUCAAGUCUAGCAGUCAAUAAAAUUCUCUCCCAACCUAGCUUUCAAGGUGACGGACGUUUUGGAGGAGGAGGAAGAAGAANGAAGAGGAAGGUUGUCCCGAACACACCAAAUAUGCUUACCACAAGCACUUGGCUCUUGCGUCAAGGCAAUUUGUGGGCAACAAGAGAAAAUCUAGGCCCAAGUCCUCCAAGAACAACUCAAGCCGGUCUAAGGGAAACAAACAUGUGAGGAUUUGCUACAAUUGUGGCAAUGUGGGUCACUUUGUGGUGGAUUGUCUGUAUGAUAAUAGGGAAGACAAUGGUGGCACGCUCAUUCGCAAAAACAAAGCAAAGUCUUUCCCCAAUAAGAACAACUUCUCCAAGAAUAUUUCUCAAAAGAUGUUGGUGGCUCAAGAAGUGUAUUUCUUCGAUGAUUAUGAUGAUGAUGGAAGUGGUGAAGUAAUGGUAAUGGAGAUGGUGGCCAUUGCAUCUUCCUCUCCAACCAAGGUGUCUCUCUCUGACUUCCCCAAUGAGAACCGCAUUGCCAAGUGCCUUAUGACCAAGGCAUCCAACAAGGUAACCUCCUACAUCAAAACUACCAUUUCCACUAUCCCUUCUUCUGGGAUAGCGGAGAUGAAAAAGAGGAGGUAAAAGUGGAGGAAAAUUCAAUUGAUAAAUUCAUGUGAAAAAUCAAGGAUGAAACCAAGAAGCAUUUUGUUGCUCCCUUGGGACAACUAGGUGAGGCUAGUGAUCUCAUUGAGUCUCAUGAAAAGACCAUCUCUCAAUUAGAGGGACAUAGUCACGACAAUGCCGAUGAGAUAGCAAAUCUUUCAAUUUCUGUCGAGCAAGAGUGAGAUCUUUAUUUGACUCUCGAGGAGUCACACAAUGAUGACCAUGCUAAAUUACGAAAAGUCAUGAUCAUGCUCUUGCUCUUUAUCGCAUGCUCCAAUUUGAAAAGGUUGCACUUGGGCUAGACCAUGAUAGACUCAAUGAAGAGUUUGUUACAGUUUACAAGGCUCGGAAGACUUUGAAGAGUGCUCAUGCUUCUCUAAAAGAGUCUCAUGUUCAACUCAAAGUAAAAAUUACUAAGUAAAUAGCCACAUGUUAUCCCUUCAUACUCAUUUAUAAUGUCAAUGCUACUCACCCUUGUUGUGAGCAUGUGCAUCUUGUGGAGGAUAAUGCCAAGUUAGAAGAGAAACUUGAGAGAGUCCCUGUGAUGUGCAUACAAGGACAAAAGAACCUUAAUAACCUUUUGAGAAAUCAAAGCGAAAUGGUUGGAAAGGUAGCAGUUGGGUUUGCACCCAAAUCCAAGAACAACAAGAAAUUCAAGACUAGCCAAACUCCCCCGCUCAAGGAAACCUUUGUCAAAGCCGGGGAGGGUGCUCAAUAUAAGUGGAAGGACAAGAUUCACGCUGGUAAUGCCAAAAAGUGCAAAACCCCUUCGUCCAACAAUGUCAGCGUAUUUAAUCCGUCUUAUGUUUUAUGUCAUGCUAGUGAUGGAUUUUUUUUUUGCAAAAUUUGUUGGUUCUUUUUAUGAAUACAUUGAAUGUUCUAUUUGGGUUCUUAAGACCCUUGUUGCUAACAUGAAAGGAACCAUGAAAGAAUGGGUAUCUUAAUACAAACAUUGAUCUCUUAUAGGAGUUUGCUUCAGGGGGAGUGUCAUGGUUUCUUGAUAUUGGAGCAACAAAUCAUAUGACUGGAAGCAAGGACUUGGUGGUGGACGCUAAUUCCGAUCCAUCGUGGCCACUCAAGUCUCCUUUGCUGAUAACGUGAUUUCAAAGAUACUGGGUCUUCGAAACGUGGUAAUCUCUUCGGAUUAUCCUUUGAGAAUUUCAUCCUUGUUGAGAGCCUUGCAUACAAUUUACUUUUCUGGUCAUUUGUACCUUCUUUGGUGUCAACACCGUGGCCCUUUUCUGGAGCAAGACUCAUAAAAUAUCCUUUUUUGGGCAUGUCAAGAAUGGUCUCUUUAUGGUUAACUUUUUGGAGCGACCCACUAAGAUCUCGACUUUUUGAAUGUCUAAAUUUGAUGUGGGAUCAGUUUGGCAUCGCCGGCUAUUCCAUGUCAAUAUGAGAUCUUUGCAAAAUCUCCUCAAAGGGGAUCGCGUUCGUGGACUGACAAAUGUGAGUUUUGCCAAAUAUCAUGCUUGUAGUGCUCGUAUCAAAGGAAAGCUUCAUGGGACAUAUCAUCAUCCCACUACUACUAUCUACUCAAAAAGGACCUAGGAUUUACUUCACAUGGAUGUCUUUGGUCCUCCCUAUUUAGAUAGUCUUGGGGUAAGAAGGUAUUUCUUGGUUAUAGUGGACGAUUAUUCAAGAUAUACUUGGGUAUACUUCUUCAGUAGGAAGAGUGAGAACCAACAAACUGUCAUCGACUUUGCUAAUGAAGCUCAACGUCAGUAUGAGGCAAAGAUAUUGAUGAUAGAAGUGAAAAUGGCACCGAAUUCAAGAACUACUCCUAGGAUGAGUUUCUUAGUGGUGAGGGGAUCAAGCACCAAUACUCCGCACCAUAUACCCCUCAACAAAAUGUUGUCGCGGAAAUGAAGAACCGUACGUUGAUGGACGCGUGACACGUCUUCAACGUAUCUAUAACUUUUUAUUGUUUGAUGAUGAUAUAUUAUCAUUAUAGGAUACUUUUGGUGUAUUUAUUUAAAAAAUUAUAUUAUUUUUGAGAACUAUCCUAUUGACCCAGUGCCCACUACGAGUUGAUUUUUUUUGCGAGUAUUUCACUUUUCAGGGUUUCCAUAGCAAACGAUGUCCAAUUGCCCUCAAACUUUUUGGUGAUUUUUUCUAGACCAAAAGAAGACCAACGAGCAUCAAAAGAAGGCUGGAGACCUCAAGAGGGGCCCACAAGCGAACAAGGUGCGCCUUGAUGGCUUGUCCCUCCCUCAUGGCCCACCCAACUCCGUUCUUUGGCUUAUAAAUUCCCAUCUACCCUAAAAACACCAGGGGGAGUCCCGAAACACUUUUUACGCUGUCGCAAGUAUCUCUUCAAAUGAGAGGCCAUUUGGAGCUCCAUUCUGACACCUUGCCGUAGGAGGAUCAAUCAUGGAGGGCCUCUUCGUCAACCUUGCUUCCCUCACGAUGAUGUGUGAGUAGUUCACCACAGACCUACAGGUCGAUAGCAAUACCUAGAUGCAAUCUCUCUCCUUGAUCUUCAAUACAAUGAUCAUCGCAUCUUUGCUUUGAUUCAUAUGAUGUAAUUCCUUUUAUGUUGUGUAGUUAUUGGGAUCCGAUGAAUUGCGGGUCUAUGUUCACAUUAUUCAUGAUAAAUAUUUGAGUCUCCUCUGAAUAAUUAUAUGAUUCUUUUGUGCAUGAUUAUGAUAGUUUCCUAAUUCUCUCUGAUCUGUUAAAAUAGUUUGGCCAACUAGAUCGAUAUUUCUUCGAUGAGAGAGCUUCAGUAUGGUAGGUUCAACCUGGAGAAGGAGACAAGAUGCAUCUUUGUGUUGAUUCUACUAAGGAUAAAACAACGGGAUUUAUUCAUAUUUCUUGAAUUUACUUUGUCUACAUCAUGUCAUUGUUCUCCGUGCAUUCUCUAUUUUACUUAAAACUCUAGAUGCAUGCUGGAUAGCAGUCGAUGAUUGGAGUAAUAGUAAUAGGUGCAAGCAGGAGUCAGCCUAUUUGUUUAAGGACAUGAUGCCUAUACACACAUGAUUAUUGACGUGAAUAUUGCAUAACUAUCCUCUUUUCUAUCAAUUUCCCAAUAGUAAUUUUUUUACCCACUGUAUAUUAUUUUUCAUAAGAGAUGUCAUUAGGGAAAGUUAUGCCCCCUAGGACUAUUCACAACAUACUGAUAAAACAUUCAUUAGCUUGCUGCUAUUUACUUGUUUUAUUUUAUCUUUCUAUCUAAAAUUAUCUGCGCAUAUACCUUGCUUGCAAAUAAAAAGACACGAGGACUGACAACCCUCUUGCUUGCAUUUGAUGCAAGUUAUUUGUUCUUUUGUCUGCAACCGUUGAACACAAUUGUGGUAGAUAUUCCUAUUGGUUCGAUAAACCUUGUUUUCAUAACUGUGGGAAAUACUUAUCCACAUUUGGCUGCGAUAACCCGUUCAUGUUCACAGAAAACACAAUGAAGAUCAAAAGUAUCAACACGUAAAAGGACAACUUUUGGGCCAAAGCCAUCUACACCGCAUGUCAUGCAUCUAAUCAUCUCUACCUCCACAAAGACUUGAACAAGACUCCCUACGAAAUUCUAACCGGGAAGAAUCCCAACCUCUAAUACUUCCGGGUGUUCUAUUGUAUGUGUUUAAUUCUCAAGAAAUUUGCUCGAUAGUAUAAAUUUGAAACCAGAUCUGAAGAGGGCAUAUUUAUUGGUUAUGCUACAAAAUCUCAUGCUUACUGUGUCCUCAAAAAGUCUACUGGACUCAUUGAGGGGAGUGUAACAUGGAGUUUGAUGAAAAUAAUGGCUCCCAAGUGGAGCAAAGUGCUGUUUGUGAUGAAAUUCCUCCCCAAGCCAUAAGAAGAAUGUGUGUGGAACACUUCCUACCCGUUGAGGAACCCCUUGUGGCCGAAGGAGUAGGACAAUGUUCCAUAGAAGUUGAACCAUCACUAAUGCAAGACCCACAUCCUUUCGAAGAACAAAGUGAAGGCCCUAAACCAAGUGAGCAAUAUCAAAGGCAAGAUCAACGUCAUGAUGAUGGUGUUACCCCAAGUGGUGCCCAAGGUCAAGUUCACCCCCCCGAGCAUGCUCAAAAUCAAGUGCAAGCUCAAAAUCAAGCGCUAGCUCAAGGUCAAGAGCAAGCUCACAAAGGCUCACAAGGUAGUAAAAAGGUUGCUCCUCAACUCUUCAUGGAGGAUAUUCUAGAAAGAUGAGUCACCAAUAUUGCUUCCAAGAUUAAUCAUAAACAACAUAUUUUGGAGAAAGUCUAUGGAAUCUUGAAGAAAGGUUAACUACUCACCAUUAAUUAACAAACUUUUGUUCACAACAUGCAACAUUUCUUGCAUUGGACCCAUAAAGGUACAAGACAUGCUGGAGGACCUGGAGUGGCUUGAAGCCAUGCAUGAACUUAACAACUUUGAGCGCAACGAAGUGUUGUGGUUGGUGCCAAGACCAAGAGGGAACCACAAUGGCAUGGGAACCAACUGGAUCUUUAAGAACAAGCAAUAUUCUAACAAUGUUGUCAUUCACAACAAGGCGAGAUUAGUGGCACAAGGCUACUCCCAAGUCGAGGGUAUCGACUACGGUGAAACCUUUCCUCCCAUUGCUCACCUUGAAUAUAUUUGCAUGUUGCUUGCAUAUGCCUCUCAUCAUAAUUUCAAAUUAUAUCAAAUGGAUGUGAAGAGUGCAUUUCUUAAUGGUCCUUUUAAGGAGUUGGUAUAUGUCAAGCAACCCCCAGGGUCCGAGGAUCCCAAGUUCCCCAAUCAUGUAUGCAUGAUCGAUAAGGCACUCUAUGGCCUUAGACAAGCCCCACAUGUGUGGUAUGAGCACGUUACAGAGAUGUUGCAAGAUGGUGGGUUUGAAAUUGGGAAAAUUGAUCCCUCUUUUUUCAUGAACAAGGUUAAAUGGAACUUUUUCAUAUGCCAAUUAUAUGUUGAUGAUAUUCUCUUUGGUUCUCCUAACAAAGGUUUUUAUGUAGAGUUUGCCGCUCUAAUGACCGAAGAGUUUGAUAUGUCUAUGAUGGGAGAGUUGAAGUUCUUCCUUGGAUUUGAAGUCAAGCAACAAAGUCAAGGAACCUUCAUCAACCAAGAAAAAUACACUCAAGAAAUCCUUAAGAGGUUCAAGUUGGAUGAACUCAAACCGGCCUAGGCAAACAGUCCCAUGCCACUCACAUGCCAACUUGACAUCUGUCCAAAUGGUAAAUUCAUGGAUUGAAAGGUAUUUCGCUCCAUGAUUGGCUCUUUUAUUUACCUUUGUGCAUCUAGACCGGAUAUUACAUUGAGUGUGGGAAGUUGUGCACGAUUUCAAUCGGCACGUAAAGAAAGCGACUUUGUGCGGUCAAGCAAAUCUACCCCAAACUUUGGCUUAUGGUCCCCACAGGAGCUUCAUUUUAUUAUAGGAUAUUCGGACUCGGAUUGGGUGGGAGACCAUGUGGAGAGGAAGUCAACUUCUGGAGGUUGCCAAAUACUUGGUCGCUCUUUGGAAAGUUGGUCUUCAAAGAAAAAAAAUUAUGCUUCUCCCUCGUUCACUGAGGCCGAGUAUGUAGCUGCCACAGGUUGAUGUGCUCGGUUACUUUGGAUGAGGAAAACUUUAAAUGAUUAUGGUCUCACUUGAUACAAGGUGCCUCUUUAUUGUGACAACGAAAGUGCAAUUCAUAUCUCCAAAAACUAGGUUCGACACUACAAAACAAAGCACACAGAGAUUUGUCAUCACUACAUCCAGAAUCAUAUGAAGCGUGGGUAGAUUUAUCUUAUUCACCUCAACACUAAUGAACAACUUGCCUAUAUUUUCAUGAAGCCAUUGGAUGAAGCAAGAUUUCGUGAGUUAAGGCAUGACCUAAAUAUGAUUGAUUCGAGCAAUGUGGAUUGAAGUUCGGCACACCCCACCACUCUCAUCGUAUUAUCCUGUUUAGAUGUAGGCAUAUAUUUAGGGGAGUGUUGUUCUCUCAAUGAACUCUAUCUCCCCCUAUUUUGCGUAAAACGAUCAAGCGUUUCACAUUAGUCAUUUUUAAUGACACUUGUGCUUCAAAGAUUCGUUUUGUUCCUGGGCCCAAGGUUAAAAUAUUCAUGGUGUCAUACCAAUUGACUCAAACAAAGGUGGCUUCGGCCACCGCCCCCUCCUAGUGAGGCAUUUACUUUUGAGAGCUUGUUCGUGUGUAGUGUCACUCCAAGUUUUUCUUUCUUCGUGUUUGAACUCUUUUAAUUUGGAGUGUAUAUUCUUGUAUUGGAUGUUUUUCGGAGUCUCCUUCUCUUGUUUUAUCUAUUUCUCAAACUCAUUAGUUACAUAGGUCUUGUUCUCUUUUGUUGAUGAGCUAUUUUUGGACGCAAGCGAUACCUCCGAUCUCAGGCUAGUACUACCACUUCAAGGACUCCCAGAGGGUUCAAGUUGUGGGUAGGGGGGUUCUAUCUCCCCCAUACCCAUUAACUUUCCCCCCUUUUAGUUUUCCCUUUCUCUGGCAAAAAAGAACUCUCACAGAGGCUGAUACGUCCAUUUUGCAUCAUGGUUUCACGUUGAUAUUUAUCGCUUCUUGGGCUGUUAUUUCACUUCAUGGUACAAUUCUUAUGCCUUUUCUCUCUUAUUUUACAAGGUUUACAUGAAGAGGGAGAAUACCGGCAACUGGGAUUCUAGCCUGAAAGUGGAGAAAGUUUGAGAUACCUAUUCUGCGCAACUCGAAACGCCGUAAAAAUCAACUAGGAUUUUUUUCCCGAUUUAUCAAAAAUACUGGGCCGAAGAAGUGCCAGAGGGGGGCGUGCAGGUGGCCACAAGCCUGCACGGCGCGACCACCCCCCAGGCCGCGCCAUGAGGGCUUGUGGCCACCCUGCAGGUCCACUUGCCCCCCUCUUUUGCUAUAUGAAGGGUGUCGUCCACAAAAAAAAGGCGGAGCUUUUUCGUGGUUUUCGCCGCCACCACAAGGAGGAACUUGAGUAGAACAAAUCUAGAGCUCCGGCAGAACGAUCCUGCCAGGGAAACUUUCCUCCGGAGGGGGAAAUCGUCGCCAUCGUCAUCACCAACAUUCCUCUCAUUGGAGGGGACUCGUCACCAUCAACAUCUUCUCCAGCACCAUCUCAUCUCCAAACCCUAGUUCAUCACUUGUAAUCAAUCUCCGUCUCGCGACUCCGAUUAGUACUUGUAAGGUUGCUAGUAGUGUUGAUUACUCUUUGUAGUUGAUCCUAGUUGGAUUACUUGGUGGAAGAGUUUAUGUUCAGAUCCUUGAUGCUACUCAUUACCUCUCUGGUCAUGAAUAUGAUUAUUCUUUGUGAGUAGUUACUUUUGUUCCUGAGGACAUGGGAUAAGUCAUGCUAAUAGUAGUCAUGUGAAUUUGGUAUUCGUUCAGUAAUUUGAUAUGUUGUAUGUUGUUUUUCCUCUAGUGGUGUUAUGUGAACGUCGACUACAUAACACUUCACCAUUAUUUGGGCCUAGAGGAAGACAUUGGGAAGUAGUAAGUAGAUGAUGGGUUGCUAGAGUGACACAAGCUUAAACCCUAGUUUAUUUGUUGCUUCGUAAGGGGCUGAUUUGGAUCCACUAGUUUAAUGUUAUGGUUAGACUUUGUAUUAAUUCUUCUUUCGUAGUUGCGGAUUCUUGAGAGAGGGGUUAAUCAUAAGUGGGAUGCUUGUCCAAGUAAGGGCAGUCCCCAAGCGCCGGUCCACCCACAUAUCAAACUAUGAAAGUAACGAACGCGAAUCAUAUGAACUUGAUGAAAACUAGCAUGACAGAAAUUCCCGUGUGUCCUCGGGAGCGUUUUUCCUCCUAUAAGACUUUGUCCAGGCUUGUCCCUUGCUACAAAAGGGAUUGGGCCACUUUGCUGCACCAUUUCUAUUUUGUUACUUGUUGCUUGCUACGAAUCAUCUCGCGACAUAAUCACUUGUUACCGACAAUUUCUGUGCCUGCAGAUUUUACCUUGCUGGAAACCACUUGUCAGAUCCUUUUGCUCCUUGUUAGGUUCGACACUCUUACUUAUUCAAAGGAAUACGAUUGAUCAACUAUACUUGUGGGUCAUAAAGACUCUUUUCUGGCGCCGUUGCCGGGGAGUGAAGUGUCUCUGGUAAGUGGAACUUGGUAAGGAAACAUUCAUAUAGUGUGCUGAAAUUUGUUGUCACUUGUCACUAUGGAUAUUAAUACUUUCAGGGGCUUGUUCAGGGUAUCUUCACCUCGAACGGAAGCACAAAGUGUUGCUCCUCAACCUGCUGCACCUACUGAAAAU
Molecule: long non-coding RNA, 11337 nt
Filed under: Hordeum vulgare
Lineage: Eukaryota; Viridiplantae; Streptophyta; Magnoliopsida; Poales; Poaceae
Description: long non-coding RNA (HVUL_LNC003851)
Source: RNAcentral